RNAcentral lists this ribosomal RNA (492 nucleotides) under uncultured bacterium. RNAcentral describes it as "partial 16S ribosomal RNA". It matches the Rfam family "Bacterial small subunit ribosomal RNA", at positions 29 to 507 of the family's 1533-position model. The record is from RNAcentral.
AGUGAACGCUGGCGGUAGGCCUAACACAUGCAAGUCGAACGGCAGCACAGUAAGAGCUUGCUCUUACGGUUGGCGAGUGGCGGACGGGUGAGGAAUACAUCGGAAUCUACUUUUUCGUGGGGGAUAACGUAGGGAAACUUACGCUAAUACCGCAUACGACCUACGGGUGAAAGCAGGGGAUCUUCGGACCUUGCGCGAUUGAAUGAGCCGAUGUCGGAUUAGCUAGUUGGCGGGGUAAAGGCCCACCAAGGCGACGAUCCGUAGCUGGUCUGAGAGGAUGAUCAGCCACACUGGAACUGAGACACGGUCCAGACUCCUACGGGAGGCAGCAGUGGGGAAUAUUGGACAAAGGGCGCAAGCCUGAUCCAGCCAUACCGCGUGGGUGAAGAAGGCCUUCGGGUUGUAAAGCCCUUUUGUUGGGAAAGAAAAGCAGCAGGUGAAUACCCCGCUGUUCUGACGGUACCCAAAGAAUAAGCACCGGCUAACUUCGUG